GUAAUCAGUGGCAGGGGAGAGACCAAGAUUAUGAUGGUGGUUUUGCCAGGGUGAGGCUUGUACUUUGGAUGUGCUGACGCCUCAACUGUUUUCCCAAAUGUGGGAAACUCAGCUGCAUAAUUUGUGGUAGCAGAAACUGUUGUGUGCACUUUCCU
RNAcentral lists this small nuclear RNA (155 nucleotides) under Sorex araneus (European shrew). RNAcentral describes it as "U1 spliceosomal RNA (ENSSARG00000015621.1)". It matches the Rfam family "U1 spliceosomal RNA". From Rfam's summary of the family: U1 is a small nuclear RNA (snRNA) component of the spliceosome (involved in pre-mRNA splicing). Its 5' end forms complementary base pairs with the 5' splice junction, thus defining the 5' donor site of an intron. The record is from RNAcentral. Lineage: Eukaryota; Metazoa; Chordata; Mammalia; Eulipotyphla; Soricidae.